AUAAGAAAAGCUGAACAGAGCGACACUACAACCACCUCCUCCACCUGCUGCCAGACCGUCUGCUGAAGCUCUGAAGGCUUGAAGGUGUGAUCACUGCAACCAUGCUGAAGGUAGCACUUGUGCUCGGAUGCCUCCUGAGCCUCGCUCUGGCUCAUCCUACGGAGACUGAACACCAGCGGUUCGCUCGCUCAGACUCCAACUCUGGCUCCGAUGAGGUGACCACCACCACUGCGACUACAACUACAGCUGCAGGUGCAACAACAACUACAGCUGCAGCAACAUUGCAGAUUCAACAGAUUCUCCAGCUCCUUCUGACCCUCUUACAGCGUUAAUAAACGACCACUGCAGCGCUGCUACAGUUUGUCAGUUUGUCAAGAAGCUGCUUCUCUCUCUUUUCUCUUUUCAAACGUCAGAUGUCUGACUGUCCAAACCUUCUCUCUGCUAAAUAAACUGCAUGAAUGCAAAACAUGGA
This is a long non-coding RNA of Chelmon rostratus (copperband butterflyfish), 472 nucleotides long. RefSeq lists it as uncharacterized. The record is from RefSeq and is a predicted model, not a curated record. Lineage: Eukaryota; Metazoa; Chordata; Actinopteri; Chaetodontiformes; Chaetodontidae. The transcript is spliced from 4 exons.